CCAAAACACAAUUUUGUCAUGAAUCCAUCUGUGUCCAUUGUUUAAUAUUCACAUAGACCAAGGUGAGCGACACAGGCUCUUUAGAGCCUCUAGUUUGAGUUUUAUCUCCCCAAAGCAUGGACCUUGCAAGAGAUGAUUGAGUCAUUUUGUGAGAUAUACCUCUAGUUACAGUUUAAUGGUUCGUUUAUAUAUAACGUUUAUGCUGUGCAUGAUAAGUAUUUGCCAAAUAUCAUUUUUAUGUAGCUAUAUAGAUGUAAACACACUACUACAGUUCUUUUCAUUGUUCCUAUCAAAGUUUUAUGUCUUUCACCCACCUUGCGAGACCGUUACGGAUAGUCGAGGUCGUAAAGUACCAACAUGUUUUCAGUUUGUGCUAAUGGUCUGUUAACAUAGAAAUAUGGGUUAAACAACGAAUCUCUUGAGAUAGUUUUGCCGCUAUACAUGAGAAUAUAGUAUGUUAUUUUCGGUUCAAUCGUACUAGUUUGGCCGAUCUCUGCGGUCACAUUUAUAAAGUAAGAUCGGUUUACUUUAGAUCGAUUCAAACUAAACUACAUUUAGACCGAUUAAAGUUCACAUUAGCCCUUAAAUCGAUCUAAAGUAAACCGUUCUAGUUUAAAUCGAUAAAAAUGUUCUAGUGUUCUCCCACAGUUAUCCCUAUAUGCUACUUUCUAGAGGUUUAUGUGUUUCCCUUUACUUGCAUAUUCAUAAACGUUAGUUCGUCGAUGUCCUUUAUCGCGACCAAUGCAAAUCAGAGUAAGGUUAGGAAUGUGAGUAGAUAUAAUAUCUAUCGACAGAUUAUGAAUCAAAUUUAAUGAAGACCACACGCAAACUGUUCAAUAAUACUCUAAUUGCAUGUUAGUGUCCGUCCUUCCAAAUUGUUAAGCAUCGGGAAAAAAUGUCAUGAUUCACGAAUCGCUUAUUCUCUCAGGG
Molecule: long non-coding RNA, 930 nt
Filed under: Mytilus galloprovincialis (Mediterranean mussel)
Lineage: Eukaryota; Metazoa; Mollusca; Bivalvia; Mytilida; Mytilidae
Source: RNAcentral